RNAcentral lists this ribosomal RNA (471 nucleotides) under uncultured bacterium. Its description in RNAcentral is "bacterial SSU rRNA". It matches the Rfam family "Bacterial small subunit ribosomal RNA", at positions 32 to 507 of the family's 1533-position model. The record is from RNAcentral.
ACAACGCUGGCGGCGUGCUUAACACAUGCAAGUCGAACGGGGCGAAGUGAUAGCUUGCUAUUAUGGAGCCUAGUGGCGAACGGGUGAGUAACGCGUGAGAAACCUGCCUUUCAGUGGGGGACAACAGUUGGAAACGACUGCUAAUACCGCAUAAUGUUAUUUGGGGGGCAUCCUUGAAUAACCAAAGCUUUAUGUGCUGAAAGAUGGUCUCGCGUCUGAUUAGCUAGUUGGUGAGGUAACGGCUCACCAAGGCGACGAUCAGUAGCCGGUCUGAGAGGAUGAACGGCCACAUUGGGACUGAGAUACGGCCCAGACUCCUACGGGAGGCAGCAGUGGGGAAUAUUGGGCAAUGGGGGAAACCCUGACCCAGCAACGCCGCGUGAAGGAAGAAGGCCCUCGGGUUGUAAACUUCUUUUAGCAGGGACGAAGAACGUGACGGUACCUGCAGAAAAAGCAACGGCUAACUACGUG